AGAGUUUGAUCCUGGCUCAGAAUCAACGCUGGCGGCGCGCUUAACACAUGCAAGUCGCACGAGAAAGGGGAGCAAUCCCUGAGUAAAGUGGCGUACGGGUGAGUAACACGUGGAUCAUCUACCUUUUAGUGGGGAAUACCCCCGGGAAACUGGGGACAAUACCGCAUAAGCUCGUGAGAGGAAAGCAGCAAUGCGCUGAAAGAGGAGUCCGCGGCUGAUUAGCUAGUUGGUGAGGUAACGGCCCACCAAGGCGAAGAUCGGUAGCCGGCCUGAGAGGGCACACGGCCACACUGGCACUGAAAUACGGGCCAGACUCCUACGGGAGGCAGCAGUGGGGAAUCUUGCACAAUGGAGGAAACUCUGAUGCAGCGACGCCGCGUGAACGAUGAAGCCCUUCGGGGUGUAAAGUUCUUUCGACGGGAACGAUAAUGACGGUACCCGAAGAAGAAGCUGCGGCUAACUACGUGCCAGCAGCCGCGGUAAUACGUAGGCAGCAAGCGUUGUUCGGAAUUACUGGGCGUAAAGAGUGCGUAGGCGGUGCUCUAAGUCUGUUGUGAAAUCUCCCGGCUUAACUGGGAGGGUGCGGCGGAAACUGGAGUGCUUGAGGGUGGGAGAGGUAAGCGGAAUUCCUGGUGUAGCGGUGAAAUGCGUAGAUAUCAGGAGGAACACCUGUGGUGUAGACAGCUUACUGGACCACUUCUGACGCUGAGGCACGAAAGCGUGGGUAGCAAACAGGAUUAGAUACCCUAGUAGUCC
This 756-nucleotide ribosomal RNA is filed under the name uncultured bacterium. Its description in RNAcentral is "bacterial SSU rRNA". It matches the Rfam family "Bacterial small subunit ribosomal RNA", at positions 8 to 796 of the family's 1533-position model. The record is from RNAcentral.